Molecule: ribosomal RNA, 252 nt
Filed under: uncultured bacterium
Lineage: Bacteria
Description: partial small subunit ribosomal RNA
Rfam family: Bacterial small subunit ribosomal RNA
Source: RNAcentral
AGGACGAACGCUGGCGGCGUGCUUAACACAUGCAAGUCGAGCGGAAAGGCCCUUCGGGGUACUCGAGCGGCGAACGGGUGAGUAACACGUGAGUAACCUGCCCUAGCUCUGGGAUAGCUCCGGGAAACCGGGAUUAAUACCAGAUACGACCACUUUAGACAUCUGUCGUGGUGGAAAGGAUUCCGGCUAGGGAUGGGCUCGCGGCCUAUCAGCUUGUUGGUGGGGUAACGCCUACCAAGGCGACGACGGGUA